Molecule: long non-coding RNA, 1980 nt
Filed under: Rattus norvegicus (Norway rat)
Lineage: Eukaryota; Metazoa; Chordata; Mammalia; Rodentia; Muridae
Description: long non-coding RNA NONRATT025080
Source: RNAcentral
GGCACUCAGAGCUAUGAGUUUUCCUCUUAGCACAGCUUUCAUUGUGUCCCAUAAUUUUGGAGGCCCUGCUGGAGUGCGAGCCCAGGCCCUGGACAGAGAUGGAAAUCUGGUGGACGAUUUUGUGUUUGAUGGAGGAGCCGGUGAGAUUGGAGAUCGAAUUCUUCACGUGAGAAAUGCACCUUCGCCUGCAGCCACUUCUUCCCUGGCAAUUUCUAGAAUGAUAGCAGAGGAAGUGCAGCAGAGGUUUAAGUUAUGAGCGACGGAGGGCGCUGUGCCAGCAACCUUACAUUCUCCACAUCAGCAACAAAGUCUACCAGCUGCAUUUUAAAAUUAGAAUUUAAGAAAACAAUUUUAAAACCAUGCCUUUUAGGCUAAAAUAACCAUUGACUUAUUAGCAGGAUAUAGUAUAUAAUAAUUUAAAAAACAUUCAGGUCCAUAUUCUUGUGAACAAGGAAACAAAGUGUAUCACUACCUGUUCUGAAACUUCAAGUUUACUAGAGACUUAGCCCGAUCUAGAUAGGGCUCUUACAGCACAUUUGGGAAGGCAGCAUAAAAAAUGGACUGUCCCUAAAUAAAUGUUUGGAUUUAUAAUAUUUUUCCUUUUCCUAAAUAACUUUAUUUGGAAGAUGAAAAUGCUUGAUUUCAAGAAAUAAAUGAAAUGUCACAUUUCUAAGUAGCACAGGACAAGCUCCGUCUUUCACUUGCAGUCCCACAGUGCGGUCCAUCGCUCCCUGUGAACAGCAUGUGCCUGUGCUUGUUGCCCUCACUACAGUUCUCUGUGGCUGAGAAAGGGAAGUCCCUGAAGGAACUGUGGUUUUAUAUGUGCACUUUAAAAUCCUGACCCCGGGGGGCGUCACUGUGCAAUUUUAUGUCCCUUGCUCACACUAAGGUUCCCAAGAUGUUGGCCAGGAUCACUAGUAGAUAAUUUAUAUCUAUUUGGGUUUUCAGAAUUCUUUGUGAGGACAUUUCUCCAUUUUGGGUUAAUCUCUAACUUGUAGGCAUUCACUUUUGUAAACCGCAAAAGUGCCUUACAUUCAUACUUACUUCACUAACAUGCUGAGUUGGUGCCAAGUGCCAUAGUGUGUGUGUGUGUGUGUGUGUGUGUGUGUGUGUGUGUGUGUGUGUGUGUGCAUGUGUGUAGUACAAACUGUAUACUGUGUAUAUGUGUGUGCACACUCAUGUUCUAGUUAGUGUCUUACAAUUCAGAAGGGUGAAAAUAGAAAUAUAAGUGAAGAACUGGCAACCUGGCCAUGGAUGCAGCCAGCAGCGCUUAGGGGAGACACUUCUGUGUCCCCUCCUCAGGGUUAAUCUCUUUUUUCCUCACCAACACUGUGAUGGAUGGAUGUGCAUGUUGAUAGGAAAACCUUUUCUUGGUUUUUUUUCUCUUCACUUAGCCCUUGGUGGUUACAUGUACUAAGCUAUCUAAUCUAUUAAUUUAAAAGGAUACAUACUGUGGGCUUCAGGAGGCCACAUACCCCAGAUAAAUAGAUGAGACAGUUAUUCAACACUUGGAACGGACAUUUUGAAACAUUCAGAAACCAUUUACGGGAAAAACAAGCCCUAAUAGUCCUCCAUAAGAACUGGUUCCAAAAGAAACGCACUGCACGGAGUACUUUUGUGUUCUAAGACUUUCGUGAGAAAACAUUGCACUAAGAUUGUUUGACCUCAUGAGUAAGAGCGUUCCUGUUAGAUGUGGUCAGAAUGGAGAUGUGCUUCUGUCUCAUCACGCCAGACCUGUGCACACACACUAAACUGUGAAAGACAAAGUUACAAGUAUAAAACAAAAACUAUCAUGAUAGAAGCAAUCCUUAAUGCUUUUGGGUCUGUAUUGUAUGCCCCAAAAUAAUAGUGAAAAUUGUUGAAAUAUGUCAGUUAAUCUGUUUGUAAAAUAUUUGAUAUUUAUGUCAAUGGGACUUUUUGUUAAAUACUAAUAUAUAAGAAUUUUCAUGUUUUCUGAGAAAAUAAAAAUAUAUUAGUAUU